RNAcentral lists this ribosomal RNA (888 nucleotides) under Apiognomonioides supraseptata. Its description in RNAcentral is "eukaryotic LSU rRNA". It matches the Rfam family "Eukaryotic large subunit ribosomal RNA", at positions 36 to 953 of the family's 3401-position model. The record is from RNAcentral. Lineage: Eukaryota; Fungi; Ascomycota; Sordariomycetes; Diaporthales; Tubakiaceae.
AAGCAUAUCAAUAAGCGGAGGAAAAGAAACCAACAGGGAUUGCCCUAGUAACGGCGAGUGAAGCGGCAACAGCUCAAAUUUGAAAUCUGGCUUCGGCCCGAGUUGUAAUUUGCAGAGGAUGCUUUUGGUGCGGUGCCUUCCGAGUUCCCUGGAACGGGACGCCACAGAGGGUGAGAGCCCCGUAUGGUCGGACACCAAUCCUGUGUAAAGCUCCUUCGACGAGUCGAGUAGUUUGGGAAUGCUGCUCUAAAUGGGAGGUAAAUCUCUUCUAAAGCUAAAUACCGGCCAGAGACCGAUAGCGCACAAGUAGAGUGAUCGAAAGAUGAAAAGCACCUUGAAAAGGGGGUUAAACAGUACGUGAAAUUGUUGAAAGGGAAGCACUUGUGACCAGACUUGGGCCGGGCGGCUCAUCAGGGGUUCUCCCCUGUGCACUCCGCCCGGUACAGGCCAGCAUCGGUUCUUGCCGGGGGAUAAGAACGGUAGGAACGUGGCUCCCCCUCGGGGGAGUGUUAUAGCCUGCCGUACGAUACCCUGGCGGGGACCGAGGUUCGCGCUUCCGCAAGGAUGCUGGCGUAAUGGUUACUAGUGACCCGUCUUGAAACACGGACCAAGGAGUCGUCCAUUAGAGCGAGCGUUUGGGUGUCAAACCCGCACGCGUAAUGAAAGUGAAAUUAGGUGAGAGCUUCGGCGCAUCAUCGACCGAUCCUGAUGUUCUCGGAUGGAUUUGAGUAAGAGUUUUAACGGACGGACCCGAAAGACAGUGAACUAUGCUUGUAUAGGGUGAAGCCAGAGGAAACUCUGGUGGAGGCUCGCAGCGGUUCUGACGUGCAAAUCGAUCGUCAAAUAUGAGCAUGGGGGCGAAAGACUAAUCGAACUGUCUAGUAGCUG